GAUCAGGUUGUUGGUGGGGUAACGGCUCACCAAGCCUAUAACCGGUACGGGCCGUGAGAGCGGGAGCCCGGAGAUGGGCACUGAGACAAGGGCCCAGGCCCUACGGGGCGCAGCAGUCGCGAAAACUCCGCAAUGCGCGAAAGCGUGACGGGGCUACCCCGAGUGCCGUCCGCUGAGGAUGGCUUUUCCCCGGUGUAAUGAGCCGAGGGAAUAAGGAGAGGGCAAGACUGGUGUCAGCCGCCGCGGUAAUACCAGCUCUCCGAGUGGUAGGGAUGAUUAUUGGGCUUAAAGCGUCCGUAGCCGGCUUAGCAAGUCUCCUGUCAAAUUCAGCGACCUAAUCGUUGAACCGCGUGAUACACUACUAGGCUACGACGCGGGACAGGCCGACGGUAUUCUCGGGGUAGGGGUGAAAUCCUAU
RNAcentral lists this ribosomal RNA (418 nucleotides) under uncultured archaeon. RNAcentral's name for it is "bacterial SSU rRNA". It matches the Rfam family "Archaeal small subunit ribosomal RNA", at positions 223 to 643 of the family's 1478-position model. The record is from RNAcentral.